CUACGGGCUGCUCCAGGCAGGAAACCUUUACAAUGCACGAAAGUGUGAUAAGGGGACCCUAAGUGCUUGCCUUCGGGUGAGCUUUUGCUAAGUGUAAAAAUCUUAGCGAAUAAGUGGUGGGUAAGACCGGUGCCAGCGAGCCGCGGUAAUCCCGGCGCCACGAGUGGCAAUCAGUUUUAUUGGGUCUAAAGCGUCCGUAGCCGAUUUGGUAAGUCUUUUGUUAAAUAGUUAAGCUUAACUUAACUUCUGCAAAAGAUACUGCCAAGUUAGAGAUUGGGAGGAGGCAGAGGUAUUCUUUGGGUAGCGGUAAAAUGCGAUAAUCCUUGGAAGACCACCUGUGGCGAAGGCGUCUGCCUAGAACAAAUCUGACGGUGAGGGACGAAAGCCAGGGGAGCAAAACGGAUUAGAUACCCGGGUAGUC
This 421-nucleotide ribosomal RNA is filed under the name uncultured archaeon. Its description in RNAcentral is "partial 16S ribosomal RNA". It matches the Rfam family "Archaeal small subunit ribosomal RNA", at positions 323 to 746 of the family's 1478-position model. The record is from RNAcentral.